This 497-nucleotide ribosomal RNA is filed under the name uncultured bacterium. Its description in RNAcentral is "partial 16S ribosomal RNA". It matches the Rfam family "Bacterial small subunit ribosomal RNA", at positions 28 to 507 of the family's 1533-position model. The record is from RNAcentral.
GAUGAACGCUGGCGGCGUGCCUAAUACAUGCAAGUCGAGCGAACAGAUGAGGAGCUUGCUCCUCUGACGUUAGCGGCGGACGGGUGAGUAACACGUGGAUAACCUACCUAUAAGACUGGGAUAACUUCGGGAAACCGGAGCUAAUACCGGAUAAUAUAUUGAACCGCAUGGUUCAAUAGUGAAAGACGGUUUUGCUGUCACUUAUCGAUGGAUCCGCGCCGCAUUAGCUAGUUGGUAAGGUAACGGCUUACCAAGGCGACGAUGCGUAGCCGACCUGAGAGGGUGAUCGGCCACACUGGAACUGAGACACGGUCCAGACUCCUACGGGAGGCAGCAGUAGGGAAUCUUCCGCAAUGGGCGAAAGCCUGACGGAGCAACGCCGCGUGAGUGAUGAAGGUCUUCGGAUCGUAAAACUCUGUUAUUAGGGAAGAACAAAUGUGUAAGUAACUAUGCACGUCUUGACGGUACCUAAUCAGAAAGCCACGGCUAACUACGUG